UGUCUUUUUGGUUCCUUCAGGAUGCAAACCAACAACAUUGUCAGAAUGAAGUUCAAGGAAAUAUUUUUUUUCUUCAAAACCUUUUACAUUUGAAAUGUUUUUGGAAUGUGUUUGCCAAUGGUUUGUCUUCCUUCAGUUGCCAAAAAAUUGUCCUACAAUGGAUGUUAAAGUCUUUGAUGAGUCAAUCAUGAUGAGGAAUCAUUCGACUACCUGCUGACAUGACCAGACCUUGGUGUCCUAGAAAUUUUCAUCCCAGGCACAGCAAGUCCCAAAGAUUCUUUAAGCUUUAGGAGAUACCGAGGGCACGUCAGAGUCUGAUGACCCAGCAAUGUUGAUUAGAAGUCCUCCUGAAAAAAUCAAGUUGAGGAACGUCGUCUUGCCCAAAUGUUCGAAGAUAUCCUAAAGAGCAGCCCUGGAGGUGAAAAGGUCAUAAAAAAAUACGCACACACUAAAAGUCUGUCAGAUGGCCGAAGACGUGACAUGGUGAAAAUCUUGGUAGCACAUUUGACAAAUGAACAUGGAACAAGCACA
Molecule: long non-coding RNA, 531 nt
Organism: Sinocyclocheilus anshuiensis
Lineage: Eukaryota; Metazoa; Chordata; Actinopteri; Cypriniformes; Cyprinidae
Exons: 5
Source: RefSeq, a predicted model, not a curated record